GAUGAACGCUAGCGACAGGCUUAACACAUGCAAGUCGAGGGGCAGCAGGGGAGUAGCAAUACUCCCGCUGGCGACCGGCGCACGGGUGAGUAACACGUAUGCAACCUGCCCUUGUCAGGGGGAUAAGCGGAAGAAAUUCCGUCUAAUACCGCAUAAUGCUGCGGGGAGACAUCUCCCUGCAGCCAAAGAUUUAUCGGACAAGGAUGGGCAUGCGGCGCAUUAGCUUGUUGGCGGGGUAACGGCCCACCAAGGCGACGAUGCGUAGGGGUUCUGAGAGGAAGGUCCCCCACACUGGUACUGAGACACGGACCAGACUCCUACGGGAGGCAGCAGUGAGGAAUAUUGGUCAAUGGCCGGGAGGCUGAACCAGCCAAGUCGCGUGAGGGAAGACGGUCCUAUGGAUUGUAAACCUCUUUUGUCAGGGAGCAAAAACUGCCACGUGUGGCAGGAUGAGAGUACCUGAAGAAAAAGCAUCGGCUAACCCCGUGCCAGCAGCCGCGGUAAUACGGAGGAUGCGAGCGUUAUCCGGAUUUAUUGGGUUUAAAGGGUGCGUAGGCGGACAGUUAAGUCAGCGGUAAAAUUGAGAGGCUCAACCUCUUCCCGCCGUUGAAACUGAUUGUCUUGAGUGGGCGAGAAGUAUGCGGAAUGCGUGGUGUAGCGGUGAAAUGCAUAGAUAUCACGCAGAACUCCGAUUGCGAAGGCAGCAUACCGGCGCCCAACUGACGCUGAAGCACGAAAGCGUGGGUAUCGAACAGGAUUAGAUACCCUGGUAGUCCACGCAGUAAACGAUGAAUACUAAUUGUUCGGGUCAAAUGAGAUCUGAGUGAUACAGCGAAAGCGUUAAGUAUUCCACCUGGGGAGUACGCCGGCAACGGUGAAACUCAAAGGAAUUGACGGGGGCCCGCACAAGCGGAGGAACAUGUGGUUUAAUUCGAUGAUACGCGAGGAACCUUACCCGGGCUCAAACGACACAGGAAUGAUCUGAGAAAUCAGGCAGUCCUCCGGGACCUGUGUCGAGGUGCUGCAUGGUUGUCGUCAGCUCGUGCCGUGAGGUGUCGGCUUAAGUGCCAUAACGAGCGCAACCCCCAUCGACAGUUGCCAGCAGGUCAAGCUGGGCACUCUGUCGAGACUGCCGGCGCAAGCUGUGAGGAAGGCGGGGAUGACGUCAAAUCAGCACGGCCCUUACGUCCGGGGCGACACACGUGUUACAAUGGCAGGUACAGCGGGAAGCCACCUGGCGACAGGGAGCGGAACCCGAAGGCCUGUCUCAGUUCGGAUUGGAGUCUGCAACUCGACUCCAUGAAGCUGGAUUCGCUAGUAAUCGCGCAUCAGCCACGGCGCGGUGAAUACGUUCCCGGGCCU
RNAcentral lists this ribosomal RNA (1362 nucleotides) under uncultured bacterium. Its description in RNAcentral is "16S ribosomal RNA". It matches the Rfam family "Bacterial small subunit ribosomal RNA", at positions 28 to 1381 of the family's 1533-position model. The record is from RNAcentral.